This is an RNA transcript of Quercus lobata, 2818 nucleotides long. It is a transcript of the gene named prohibitin-3, mitochondrial-like, with no coding region annotated. The record is from RefSeq and is a predicted model, not a curated record. The transcript is spliced from 4 exons. Lineage: Eukaryota; Viridiplantae; Streptophyta; Magnoliopsida; Fagales; Fagaceae.
AAAAAACUAACUAAAACCUCAGAAAACCCUGACGCAGAAAACAAGCCGCACUUGAACGGUGCUACCACAGCCCUCAGUUCCACCGUAUCAAUCAUGGGUAGCCAAGGCGCUGUUUCCUUAUUGAACAACGUCGCACGCGCCGCCUUGGGUCUCGGCGUAGCCACCACGGCUCUCAACUCAUCUCUCUACACCGUCGACGGCGGCCAGCGCGCAGUCAUCUUCGACCGCAUCCGUGGAAUUCUCGACGAAACCGUCGGCGAAGGCACCCAUUUCCUCAUCCCAUGGCUCCAAAAGCCUUUCAUCUUCGACAUCCGCACGAAGCCCCACACUUUCUCCUCCGUCUCCGGCACCAAGGACCUCCAGAUGGUCAACCUAACCCUCCGCGUUCUCUCGCGCCCCGAGGUCACGCGCCUCCCUCAGAUCGUCCAAACCCUAGGUCUCGAGUACGACGAGAAGGUCCUCCCUUCGAUCGGCAACGAGGUCUUGAAGGCCGUCGUGGCUCAGUUCAACGCCGAUCAGCUCCUCACCGAGCGCCCGCAGGUCUCGGCGCUCGUGCAGAGCGGGCUCACCGAGCGCGCCAGGAACUUCAACAUCGUGCUCGAUGACGUGGCGAUCACGCACCUGUCGUACGGCUCGGAGUUCUCGCGCGCCGUGGAGCAGAAGCAGGUGGCGCAGCAGGAGGCGGAGAGGUCGAAGUUUGUGGUGGCGAAGGCGGAGCAGGAGAGGCGCGCCGCCAUCAUUAGGGCCGAGGGAGAGAGCGAGUCGGCGAAGAUGAUAUCGGAGGCUACUGAGAAGGCUGGAACGGGACUCAUUGAGCUCAGGAAGAUUGAGGCCAUGAGGGAGAAUGCCGCCACGCUUGCUAAGUCCCCGAAUGUCUCUUACUUGCCCAGUGGCCAGAAGCUUCUCAUGGCUCUCAAUGCCAACCGUUAAAGAGCUAAGGGUCUCAUGGCAUGGCAUAAAAGCAUGAUGAGGUCAUGGAUUUGGACAAAUUGCUGGUUUAUCACUCUGAAGUCAAUUUUUUUAUGUAUCUAAGAUCAUAUCGUCUGAACUUUCUUAAGAUCCAGUCAUUAAGAAUUUAGGAAACUGUUUUGGAUUUUUUGUUGAAAGUUGCAUUGGUUUUUUCCCUGUCCUGGAAGCAUGGCCAUGUUUAUAACUUAGGUGAUAAAAUUGCGUUUCUGAUAUGUUGAUCUAUGCUGAAUGCAUUUUCCUUUCCCCUAAUUGCUUAGGAAUAGUUAAAGUUUGUUUUAUUUUAUGGCCACCAUUAAUUCCUUUAGAGGAAAAGUUCCUUACGAUUUAUUGAUUGAGGAACCUAGCUAUGUGAUGAAUUCAACCAUGUAUGCAUUUGGUAAUGUAUAUGGCUGUUUAUGCAGCAUCUGUGGUGGUUAUCUUCAUAUAGCUAGUAAGUGGAGAAUAGCAUUUGUUUAGCUAGUACAAAUGUGCAUUUACAGAUUAUUUAAUUUAUUUUACUGGUGUAUAUAGUGUUGAAAUUAUAUUUCCAUUGUAGUCUGCUAUUGGAUAGGGUUGCAAGCCUGCAAAUUAGCUCAAGUUUGGGUUGAUCUAAAAUACAAUGGCUUGAUGUCCAUUUGAGCUCUGAAAUCCAGGUCCGUUCAACCUCAGCUAGAUGUGAGCUUUAUCAAGCUCACCUAAGACUGGACAAACCCAAACCCCAAUGAACAAAACUGUAAGCUCAUGUUUUUUUGUUCCAUUUUCAUAGCAUAGCAAGAAGGAUGCUGAUGUGCUUGCACCUUUUUCUUUGAAUGAAAGCUGAUGAAAAAAAUUAUUUUUCAGACAACGGUGUUAAUGUGGCCUCGCAAGUCAAAACAGAAAAGUAGGUUAUUAUGUAAAGCACUGCACUCAACAUUCUAUUUGUAGUUCAUUUUGUUGGAGCACAAGCUAACGAGCAAGAGUAAGUUUAUAAGUACCAAGUCCCACCAAGUCAUCCCAACCCUCUGUUUGGGGAGAAAGUAUCUUAUAAGCCACUCUCUCCAGGUCAGCUUCUUUCUUGUUGAGACUACCCAAUAAAGAAGAUACCUGCACCAACUGGAAAUUACAAUGAUACCCUCAAAAUUUUCAAUAGGCUAUUCACUCCCCCUUUUUUCUCAGUUUCAACUUUUAAGAACACUCUCUUCCUUCACUCUCUUCCAGCGGAUGGUGAGCCACCUGGUUUUGUGAUUGAUCAGCAGUGGAGACAACUGCUCCACCCCAAUGGAAACUGCAAAAUUUUAAAAUUAAAAAAAAAAAAAGAAAAAAGAAAAAAGAAAAAAAAGGAGCCCGGAGUAGAGGGUUUCGCCAUCCACCAGCAUCUCACUAACAGUGUUUCAACCACCCACGUUACCUAUGUUUCAAAAGCCUACCCGAAAUAAACUCAAUGCCCAUUGCAUAUACUGACCUGUUAGAAAAAAGCUUGAAUCUUAAACAAACAGCAUUCAUACCAGAAGAAUCUACCUUUCCUUUCUUUUGUAUCAGAUUUAUGUUUCUAAAGCUUUAGAUAACCUCCCAAAAGAUGUUUGGCAGUUGUAGGCCUUAUGGUCGGUAGUACUGAUUCCGUGGGCUUGAAGAAGAGGAUGAAAGUGCUGAUUAAUGGGCAUGCUGUUGAUUCUGUGGUGGCUUCACAAGUAUCCAAUCUUCAACCUCACAAACCCAAGCUUUUGACAUGAGGAAAACUACUUUGCUUCAAAGGAUCACAAUCUUCUCUCCCGGCUAAAAUUUUGGUUUUUGAACAAAUGUAAUUGUCAAAAGCAAAGUAUGUAUGAUAAAAUAUUUUAGUACAAGUGUUGGAACUGCCUUUUGAGUAAAAGUAAAUCUUUGCCUAUUGUUA